UAGACAAGAAGCUCAUAAUGAAAUGGUGGUAAAUGACAAAUACAUUUUUUUUAACUUGCGUUUAAUUUGUUGAUUUGUUUUCAGUAGAACGAUUGGCAAUGUACAAUACAUUCAAGAAUAGAAUUUUGAUAUAUAAUUUGCAGAUUAAUAUUGCAAUUGUUUAUUGAAGUUACCAAAAUUCAACUAGUGCUUGAUCCUUAAAGAAGCUCCCAAUAUAUAAAUACAUAAAUUCAUGCUUAUCUUAGUUGUUUUAGAAAUUUUGUUGUAAACAAAAUAAUAUAGUUGUUGAUAUUUGUUUUAUAUUUAAUAUGAGAAACCAUAGUGAUUGGAGUUAUUAAUUGAUUGUUAUAACAAUGAAGUAUGUAGCUGGAGGGUUUUUAUAUACAAUCUUUGUCAAUGAGAUUUAUCUAUGUUAUUUUAUAAAAUUGAGAAUGGAAAUGGGGAAUGUGUCAAAGAGACAACAACCCGACCAAAUAAAAAACAACAGCAGAGGGUCACCAACAGGUCUUCAAUGUAGCGAGAAAUUCCCGCACCCGGAGGCGUCCCUCAGCUGGCUAUAUAACUAUUUUAUUUAUAAUGAAACUAUUUAUUGUUUGUUAUUGGGGAAA
Molecule: long non-coding RNA, 608 nt
Filed under: Mytilus galloprovincialis (Mediterranean mussel)
Lineage: Eukaryota; Metazoa; Mollusca; Bivalvia; Mytilida; Mytilidae
Source: RNAcentral